Molecule: ribosomal RNA, 274 nt
Filed under: uncultured bacterium
Lineage: Bacteria
Description: partial 16S ribosomal RNA
Rfam family: Bacterial small subunit ribosomal RNA
Source: RNAcentral
CCCGCCGGCGACCGGCGCACGGGUGAGUAACACGUAUGCAACCUGGCCGUGACAGAUGGAUAACCGGGAGAAAUCCCGCCUAAUACAACAUAAUGCCGGGAGGGGACAUCCCCUGCCGGCCAAAGGGGGCGACCCCGGUCACGGAUGGGCAUGCGGCGCAUUAGGUAGUUGGUGGGGCAACGGCCCACCAAGCCGACGAUGCGUAGGGGUUCUGAGAGGAAGGUCCCCCACAUUGGAACUGAGACACGGUCCAAACUCCUACGGGAGGCAGCAG